This 637-nucleotide ribosomal RNA is filed under the name uncultured fungus. RNAcentral describes it as "eukaryotic LSU rRNA". The stretch from base 306 to 459 matches the Rfam family "5.8S ribosomal RNA". Lineage: Eukaryota; Fungi. The record is from RNAcentral.
CGCUACUACCGAUUGAAUGGCUCAGUGAGGCGUCCGGACUGGCCCAGAGUGGUGGGCAACUACCGCUCAGGGCCGGAAAGCUCUCCAAACUCGGUCAUUUAGAGGAAGUAAAAGUCGUAACAAGGUCUCCGUAGGUGAACCUGCGGAGGGAUCAUUACCGAGUUUACAACUCCCAAACCCCUGUGAACAUACCUUAUGUUGCCUCGGCGGAUCAGCCCGCGCCCCGUAAAAAGGGACGGCCCGCCGCAGGAACCCUAAACUCUGUUUUUAGUGGAACUUCUGAGUAUAAAAAACAAAUAAAUCAAAACUUUCAACAACGGAUCUCUUGGUUCUGGCAUCGAUGAAGAACGCAGCAAAAUGCGAUAAGUAAUGUGAAUUGCAGAAUUCAGUGAAUCAUCGAAUCUUUGAACGCACAUUGCGCCCGCCAGUAUUCUGGCGGGCAUGCCUGUUCGAGCGUCAUUUCAACCCUCAAGCCCAGCUUGGUGUUGGGAGCUGCAGUCCUGCUGCACUCCCCAAAUACAUUGGCGGUCACGUCGAGCUUCCAUAGCGUAGUAAUUUACACAUCGUUACUGGUAAUCGUCGCGGCCACGCCGUUAAACCCCAACUUCUGAAUGUUGACCUCGGAUCAGGUAGGAAU